Dioscorea cayenensis subsp. rotundata (Guinea yam) is the source of this 2409-nucleotide RNA transcript. It is a transcript of the gene named exocyst complex component EXO70A1-like, with no coding region annotated. The transcript has 5 exons. The record is from RefSeq and is a predicted model, not a curated record. Lineage: Eukaryota; Viridiplantae; Streptophyta; Magnoliopsida; Dioscoreales; Dioscoreaceae.
GCCUCUAUUCGCAAUCCCUAAUUCCCAUUCACACUUUUGCAUUUCAACCCCUUCUUAAAAAUAAAAAAAAACCUUCAAAUUCUCAGAACUCACACUUCUCCCCAUAUCCAUCUCUAGCUCGAUUGCCCUCACCGUCCUCCUCCCCAUCUCAUCGCCCUCACCAUUCCCUACCUCACUGCCCUCCUAUAAAUUCUCAGAACUCGCAUUUCCCCUCUCAUCACCCUCACUGCCCUCCUCCCAUCUCCUUCACCGCCUUCGUCCUUCCCUCCCUCUCCACCACCUCCUCCAUCCCAACCUUCAUCACCAACCCUCUAAAGCUCCACCCACUACCUUUAAUCAUUCCAUACAUCAACACCAGGCACACUUCCUCAUCCAUUCCCUUCUUCGUCAUCUUUACCGACACCGCCACCGGCCCGACAUCCAUCAUCGUGCCCUCCUUUCCCCCGCUCUGUCAAUUAUGCCAUCAUCAACAAUUGAAGCAAUUUUCAGUGGUGACAUGUGCUCCAAGAUCAGAUGUUUUGUAUGGGGUUUGACAAAAUGUCUAGCACAGACAGCUAGUGAAACCUUUGAUACUUUUGAUGGAUCUGUUGGAAGUGAUGCAACAAAAACAACAUGUUUUGAUGGAAGUGUUCACCCUCUGACUCGCUAUGUGAAGUACCUUUUUGGAAUCUACUUCAGGUUGUGGAGGUCCUCUCUACAAAGGAUCUAACAUUCCCAGGUGGUGAUAAUAGCAUAGACCAAAGCAAUCACAGGCUCAUUGUCUCAAAAAUUGUAGUUAAAAAUAGGACUCAUCUCAGACGAACCAAAAACAAAAAAAUUCUCUUCUUGUUCUCCUUUGCGUUACAGUUAGUCCUGGAAAAAGUAGAGCAAUCUAUGCGUUCCCAAGGAACUUCUCUGUUUGAUUGGAUAGAAUUUUUCCCCACUGGUUUUUUCACGUAAGACAUAAUCUGAUUCUGGAUUCAGAUUUAUAUCUUCUUCAUUUAGAGAUAUAUAGCUGGACUACUUGCUGAGAGACAAAAAUUGGGACUAUUGCGCAAGUUCUGCCAUUUCGUAGCCAGCUUCUGAAUGUUCAUAUCAAAGCUCAUGCAAGGUUGAUCAGCAAAAAAAGAACAACACAUAGGUAGACCAAGAGGUAGACAUAUUCAAUGGCUCAUUAACAUGCCGCUUUUAAUGUCAAAAUGAAGUUACUCAUGAAGGUACCAGAAAGCCCCUAAAGAUCUAAUGAAGAACUAAAAAAUGAACAUCCUUUGCAACUGAAUUCUUGAAAUAAUUUAUCACAUUUUACGCUACUAAUUAAGGACUAACAUUUUGAGUUUGCCGAUCGAGGAAAAUAACUUAUUAUAAAAUAAUGAGGUUACUCAGAAAUCUAACAGAAAGCCCCUAAUGAUCUAAUGAAGAAUGAAAGAAUGAUCUAUGGCCUAAUUAGCAGUGUAAAAUGGAACCAAAAAUCAUUGUUUAUACAUUUAGCACCAAAAAUUUCAAUUUGAUAGUUUUUAUCUCAUACAUAUGUUUGCCUAGUCUUCAGCAAAUCCUACAAGCAGGGGGAAAAAUAUCAUUCAAAAACAUAGAUAGCAAUUUUAGAAGAAUUUGUUGUCUUUGAUUGUCCAAUUGAAUUAUCAUGGUUAAAUAAAGUGACACAUAGGUUCGGCAAAAUACCAUCUACUAGAGUAGAUCCUGUAUCAGCAGGAAUCUCAAAGCUUAUAUUCUCAUGUCUUUCAUUGUUUAUUGAAGCUGAACAAUUUGGAUGUGUAAAUGUGAAUACCUGACAAAGCACACACAUGUGCUCACACAAAAACAAAAAAUAAAUAAUAAUGGUGAUUUAGAAUACAGUCGAUGUGAGAAAUUAGAUGGAUUACAAAAACAUAUGAGUAAAUGUGAAUACCUGGUUCAUAGUAUUUAUGAGAAUUAAUUAGGUGCCAAUAACAGUUAGCAAAUAAUUAAAGCAACAUAUGAUAUUUGUUUUGGUUUUUUUUUUUUUGAAGAAAGGACCCCAAACAUAGGGGUAAUUUAUUAAAAGAGAAAAUAAAGAAAACACGAGAAAUCAAAAAAAACACAGGCUAACAAGGCCCUAGAAGCUGCACAAACAUCCAUACUUAAAAUACAAAACAAGAUCUAGAGAAGCUCUUCAUUAACCAGUGUGGUAAAUCUCGCCCGUACAGGAAUAAAUUAAGAGUUGAGUGGUUAAAUCCUUGAACUACAAGCUUGAUGGCAGGGGACAUCAAAGAUCUUGGGAUAUCAUAAAUUCUGAUGGAGCCGUGCAUGUCUAGAAGGAAUCGUAGAAUGGAAAUAUGAGAAUUAAAGAGCCAAGUUGUAGUAGAAUCCAGAUUCCUGGUGAAUGUUGAAGCUGUUGGAUUAUCAUUGAAGAUCACUAAAAGAAUUAAGAUUUUUAGUGACAAUUUUUUUUAUGUC